RNAcentral lists this long non-coding RNA (2147 nucleotides) under Mus musculus (house mouse). RNAcentral describes it as "long non-coding RNA chr14:61683509-61685656". Lineage: Eukaryota; Metazoa; Chordata; Mammalia; Rodentia; Muridae. The record is from RNAcentral.
GGACUUUCCCAGCAACUGGAGAGGGGUAAACAGUCUAGAAGAACUCCCCCCAUCCCACUCCCCCGCCCCAAGUUCGGACCACCACCACGCCUCAGCACGGGCACCUACCUACUGUGAGGGGCUUGGAAGUUAGGUAUAAGGGUGGGUCCAAACCUGGUAGAGCUUUUCCAAGAGUCAGAUGGGGGAGGAAAUAGAUUUGCCUAGAGUUGAGAAACCUUUCCAGAUUUAGGCCCGCUUGCUUUCGCUCUCUCUAUUUCUAUUUCUUUUCUUUCUUUCUUUCUUUUUUUUAAAGGAGAAACUUUAGAUUCUAAAGCUUAGAACGUGCCUUCCAAGUUUGCUAUGUGUGUGCUUGCUAAAAGAAGGAAGUGAGACAAUAUAAAGUGAACUUUUGCAGCACUCGCUUCCUUUCUAAAGUUUGGAGCUGCAGGCCUGAUAGGCUUUGGUCGCCCACACCUGGCGGUGUGCAGAGCCUAGGGCGGGACCUCAAUCUUCCCCAUCCUCUGCAAUUUAUCCAAAGGCCCUAGCUACUCACCUCCCGGUCCUUGUACCCUUCAUUACUCAGCAUUUGGAAAACAAACCUCUUAUGAAUGCAAAUUCGUUUCUUUGACACUUUGGUUGCAGCAAUAGCUACAAAUCACGUUUCUUUGCAUUUAGUAAACAAGUCAGGGCCUCCUGGUCCUUCCCACUCUUGCAAGGGUCAGAGUUUGUCAAGGCAUGGUCAUGGUUGCCUUACCCCGUCCUCCGACUAAGGCUCAGCGGCACAGCUAUUUUGUUAAGACACCGGCUUUCCGCCCCCACUUUGUUCUUUCACGGUCUUCCUAGCCGCGGAGAGGAGGGAAGGGAAUCAAAACGAAACCACUUCAGGCGCAUCAGUCACAGCCACUUCCCUAAGGGCAGCGGUGGCAGACCUAAGUGUAGGGUCGCAAACAUUGGCCGAGAUGGGGGUGGGGGUGGGGGGAGCUGUUCCCGAAGGAAGCCCAGGAGUUGCCAGGAUCUGUCCUAGGUUGCGAAGGGUCCCCCUCCCCCCAAACUCCCAUCUCCGGAAAAGUGCAUAUGGAUAGUACAUCAAUCUUGCAUGGAGAGUUUGGUCUGGGUCUCGAAGUUGAAGACUGAGACCCUGCAGAAGUAAAGGAGUGUGACACGAACGAGUUUGGCUUCUAGUGGCAGAUGUCUUAGCAGGGUCUCAGGCAGGAACGCAGGCGAGGGUGCGCAAAGGCCUCUUGGGACUCGAGGCCCACGGAAUUCUUGCCCGGCUGAAACUGGAUAAGCAUCCCGCCCACACGCAAAUAACCAAAGUUCUAUACAAUUUAAAAGACUUCACGAAACUAGUGGUAUCCCUCUUCCCUCAUAGGAGUCAUUGCAGUGACAAAGGCGGCCUCCGGCAGGUUUCAAAGAGACGGGUGGGCCGACUUUAGCAGUUCAGGGAAGGCAUCUUACGAGGUGAAGGUAACCAAACACAACUGGGGCGCUCAGGAAUGGCAGCUGGUGUCAAUCUAGUCAGCUAAAACGUGUCCUCGCUUCCCCUUCUUCCCCCACAGAGAAACAACACUGACUUGAAACAGCUUCCACCCUCACCCCACCCCCAUACUUUCUUUACCACACACUUUAUUCUGUUUAGUAACACCUUUGUUGCAGCAGUAUCUGUAGGUCUGGGCAAGUGUGAGAAAGACCUGCAGGGUCUCGGGGAGUUGAAAGUGGAAACCGUUUGCUGGAGUGCUCGCCCUGCUCACCCACACCUGACUAAGGACUUAGCAGACAGCCAUUACCCUUCCAGCUGCUCAGAGGCGCUUUGCUUUUGCACUGAGGUCAUUCGCUCUGUAAAACCCAAGACUAGGAGUCCUGUAUGUAUUUGCAUUGUUCAGACUCAGCUUCGCCAAUAAUUUAACCACAGGACUCAAAAAAAAAAAAAAUGGCCUUGCCUUUCAUAAGUUCUCUUGGUCGAAACCUGGAAAGGCAGAUAUUUCUACCCCCGGAACCCUCUUGGUAAACAUCAGAAAGCCCUAACUGAAAGGGAAGGCCCACUUUAUCCUCUUUCCCCUCUAUAUGAGUGAGGCAAGCUACCUAGGAAAUAGACCCUGACGCUCUCUUUUUAGCUUUCCCCCAUUUCUUAAAAAAAUAAAAUUACCCAGCACAAAAGCUAGUUUUGA